AACGGCAGCGGGGAGGAGCUUGCUUCUCUGCCGGCGAGUGGCGAACGGGUGAGUAAUACAUCGGAACGUGUCGAGAAGAGGGGGAUAACCACCCGAAAGGGUGGCUAAUACCGCAUAAAUUCUGAGGAAGAAAGCUGGGGACCUAGGAAUAGGCCUAGCGCUUUUUGAGCGGCCGAUGUCGGAUUAGCUAGUUGGUGAGGUAAAGGCUCACCAAGGCGAAGAUCUGUAGCGGGUCUGAGAGGAUGAUCCGCCACACUGGGACUGAGACACGGCCCAGACUCCUACGGGAGGCAGCAGUGGGGAAUUUUGGACAAUGGGGGCAACCCUGAUCCAGCCAUGCCGCGUGUAUGAAGAAGGCCUUAGGGUUGUAAAGUACUUUUGUUAGGGAAGAAAAGUCAGCUGUGAAUAAUGGCUGAUACUGACGGUACCUAAAGAAUAAGCACCGGCUAACUACGUGCCAGCAGCCGCGGUAAUACGUAGGGUGCGAGCGUUAAUCGGAAUUAUUGGGCGUAAAGCGAGUGUAGACGGUUAUUUAAGCCAGAUGUGAAAUACCCGAGCCUAACUUGGGAGGUGCAUAUGGAACUGGGUAGCUAGAGUGUGUCAGAGGGAGGUAGAACUCCACGUGUAGCAGUGAAAUGCGUAGAGAUGUGGAAGAAUACCGAUG
This 664-nucleotide ribosomal RNA is filed under the name uncultured Neisseriales bacterium. Its description in RNAcentral is "bacterial SSU rRNA". It matches the Rfam family "Bacterial small subunit ribosomal RNA", at positions 65 to 714 of the family's 1533-position model. Lineage: Bacteria; Pseudomonadati; Pseudomonadota; Betaproteobacteria; Neisseriales. The record is from RNAcentral.